UACGAAGGGGGCUAGCGUUGUUCGGACUUACUGGGCGUAAAGGGCGCGUAGGCGGCCUGACAAGUCAGAGGUGAAAGUCCUGGGCUCAACCUGGGGACUGCCUUUGAAACUGUUGGGCUUGAGACCGGGAGAGGUGAGUGGAAUUCCCAGUGUAGAGGUGAAAUUCGUAGAUAUUGGGAAGAACACCAGUGGCGAAGGCGGCUCACUGGACCGGUUCUGACGCUGAGGCGCGAAAGCGUGGGGAGCAAACAGG
This 253-nucleotide ribosomal RNA is filed under the name uncultured bacterium. RNAcentral's name for it is "partial 16S ribosomal RNA". It matches the Rfam family "Bacterial small subunit ribosomal RNA", at positions 524 to 776 of the family's 1533-position model. The record is from RNAcentral.